Cavia porcellus (domestic guinea pig) is the source of this 1713-nucleotide long non-coding RNA. RefSeq lists it as uncharacterized. The record is from RefSeq and is a predicted model, not a curated record. The transcript has 2 exons. Lineage: Eukaryota; Metazoa; Chordata; Mammalia; Rodentia; Caviidae.
UUUUCUCCUGCCUACCUUUUGAUGCUUUUAAAAUCUGAAAUAUAAGCCAGGCAUAGUGGCUCAUGCCUGUAAUCCCAGCACUCAUGAGGCUGAGGCAGGAGGAUCACUGCAAGUUCGAGACCAGCCUGGGCUACAAAGUGAGCUCAAGGCCAGCCUGCACUGCAUAGAGACCCUGUCUCAAAAAGACAAAAAUAAAUAAAUAAAUAAAAUAAAAUCUGGAAUAUAAUAACAAUAACCAACAGUACACACUGAGCACCUACCUAGCAGGCACUAGGCUACGCUGUGUUGGAGGGUCAUGCCGGGGGUGAUCCGGGCAGGAACAGAGGCCAGCCUUCUCCUGUGAGUGUGCACCAUUCACAGACUGUGGAGGAGGAGAACAAGAGGUCAGCAAGAAGCUAAGACCUCCUGUGAGUCGGCACCAUGCACUGGCUGACCAGGAGAGAGCCAGACACCAGCCCUUCCCGCAAGGAGACAAAAGCCGAGGUUACUUCCUCCCACUCCUCGACCCUUAAAAGCGACUGGCUGAUCUGGAGAAACACAGGCCACGAUGAUAGCUAAUGAGCCAGGAAGCUCAAAUGUCAAGCUCACUGCUCAAAUCCCGAUUGCCUACACAUGUGGUUUUCUUCCUGAACUGAAUUUCCGGCCUGAUCUAAUUUUAUACCGAUCAAAACCUCUACUUCUACUUUGUCACUGGUUUAUGUCCUUACAAAGCACUUUAAAUCAAGUCUUUUAUUAUGCAGAGAAACUGUGUUAUCAAUAUAAUAAUCAUAAAGCUUUCUGUUUGUUUGCCUGACAUUCGUGAUGCUCCAGACACUUUAAAUAUUUUAUCUCCAGUAAUUAAAACAAAGCACAGCAGAGACAUCACUGAGCUCAUUUUACAGAUGAUAAACUGAGGCUCGGAGAGGUCAACUGCAGAAAGCAGACGGCCUGCUGUGUUAGUUUUCAGUCACUACUGCCGUCAAUUACCACAAACCUGGUGACAGAACAGACUUGUUACAGCUCGGAGGGUCAGCAGUCCGCACGGACGGGCAGAGCCGGUCCUCCGGCAGGAUCUGGGGGAGACCCAUUUCUUUACUACCCAGCUUCUGCAGGCGGCCGUCCAUCCCCAGGUCACGGCAGCACACGACCCGACUAUUCUUGCUGCCACAUCUCCUGCUGCCACCGUGCUCCUCCUGCGCUCCUCCUUCACAGGGAGGCUUGCUGUUCCUCGCCCUCAAGAAUCCAAGCUGAGUUUGUUUAAUUUUAUUAUCUGUGAUGGUAUGAACAGCUAUUUUGAAGAAAACAAGACAUUAUAAUAGCCAGUGCUGGUGUAAUAUCACCUUACUCGGAAGUCCUACAAUGCUUUUGUUCUUCUGUUUCCAUUGGUUCUAUCAUAUUAUAUCUUAUUGGAUUUUAUGUGUGAUAGAAUAAACAAAUUUUCUAUGGAAAAUGAGACAAUAUAGUAGCCAUUGUUUGCUCUCUGUUAUUUGGUUCUGAAUGCCCUGUAAUACUUUCAUUUCUUGAAUGGUUUUGCACUAUUUUGUUUGUUUGAUACUACCCUAUAUGAACUUAUGCUCAACUAUUUCAAAGAAAGAGACAUUAUGGUAGCUACUAUUAUUUAUGGGUUGACUUGAGGUAAAAUGCUGUGUUGCUUACAUUGUUCUGAUCUGAUCUGCUUUGUUAUGUCCUCUUUUGUCUUAAUCUCUUUAAAAUAAAAAAACAAGCUGAACCUCC